GAAUUGUGCACUUGGGGAGCUUGGCUCUUGAGACAGGAGUCUUGCUGAUGCUCCUGGCUGAAUAAACCCCUUCCUUCUUUAACUCGGUGUCUGAGGGUUUUUUUCUGAGGCUCUUCAUGCUACAUUUCUUGGUUCUCUGACUGGGAAGUGAGGUGAUUGGCGGAUGGUUAAGGCAGCUCCUUAGGUGGCUUAAGCUUGCCCUGUGGAACAACCCUGAGGGGGACUCUGACCAGCCCGAGCAAUGUGGAUCCUGAGAGGACUCCCGGGUAGGCAUUUGCCCUGGUGGGAUGCCUCGCCAGAGCAGUGUGUGGCAGGCCCCCGUGGAGGAUCAACACAGUGGCUGAACACCAGGAAGGAACUGGCACUUGGAGUCCGGACAUCUAAAACGUGUGAUUCUCCAAGGGCAAAUGAAUUUUGACCAGGAAGACAGUGAAGAAAUUUCAUAAAAGUGAAAUACUAAUUGGAAGCUCCUAUCGGCAUUGGUUGAUCUGACAAGUUGUGUGUAUAGAAACUAGCCUAUAUGGAGACACGAAUGUCAAAAGAAGUUUUACCGAUGAUAGAAAUAUGAGAGGAUCAUUAUGUAUUCUUCAAGAAAAAGAAAUAUGGCAAAGGAUAGUAAAGGUAAUACUGCCAAAAAUAUCCAGAUUGUAUUGAAGAAAAUUGUGAAAAAAAGGACCAGAGUCAAAGUUAUUUUUCUAGGAGGAGAAGAACACAUUGCAGAACAGAAGAUGGCAAAUAAAUGCUUUUCCAUGAAAGAGGCACAGAUUGCUUCUACUUACCAAAGCAAGUCACAUGGCCAUGCCUCACCAAGGAGUUAAGAAAGCAGAGUCCUCCCAAGGAAGCAUGUGUCCAGGAAAGAACUGUAUAUUGUUGACUAGCAACAAUGUCUGACACCUUGACUUAAACUUUACGUUACAAAUUUCUGAUCACAUUAGCUAUAACCUUUUGAAACUUACCAAUAGGCUGGCCACAGUGGCCCACACCUGUAAUCCCAGCACUUUGGGAGGCUGAGGAGGGCAGAUCAUGAGGUGAGGAGAUUGAGACCAUCCUGGCUAACACUGUGAAAUCCCGUCUCUACUAAAAAUACAAAAAAAUUUCCGGGUGUGGUGGCGUGCGCUUGUAGUUCCAGCUACUUGGGAGGCUGAAGCAGAAGAAUCACUUGAACCUGGGAGGCAGAGGUUGCAGUGACCCGAGGCCGCACCACUGCACUCCAGCCUGGGUGACAGAGUGAGACUCCUUCUCAAAAAAAAAAAAAAAAAAAAAACGGAAAAAAAAAAGAAA
This is a long non-coding RNA of Homo sapiens (human), 1281 nucleotides long. RefSeq lists it as uncharacterized. Lineage: Eukaryota; Metazoa; Chordata; Mammalia; Primates; Hominidae. The record is from RefSeq and is a predicted model, not a curated record. The transcript is spliced from 3 exons.